GAUGAACGCUGGCGGCGUGCCUAAUACAUGCAAGUCGAGCGAAUGGAUUAAGAGCUUGCUCUUAUGAAGUUAGCGGCGGACGGGCGAGUAACACGUGGGUAACCUGCCCAUAAGACUAGGAUAACUCCGGGAAACCGGGGCUAAUACCGGAUAAUAUUUUGAACUGCAUGGUUCAAAAUUGAAAGGCGGCUUCGGCUGUCACUUAUGGAUGGACCCGCGUCGCAUUAGCUAGUUGGUGAGGUAACGGCUCACCAAGGCAACGAUGCGUAGCCGACCUGAGAGGGUGAUCGGCCACACUGGGACUGAGACACGGCCCAGACUCCUACGGGAGGCAGCAGUAGGGAAUCUUCCGCAAUGGACGAAAGUCUGACGGAGCAACGCCGCGUGAGUGAUGAAGGCUUUCGGGUCGUAAAACUCUGUUGUUAGGGAAGAACAAGUGCUAGUUGAAUAAGCUGGCACCUUGACGGUACCUAACCAGAAAGCCACGGCUAACUACGUGCCAGCAGCCGCAGUAA
Molecule: ribosomal RNA, 515 nt
Filed under: uncultured bacterium
Lineage: Bacteria
Description: partial 16S ribosomal RNA
Rfam family: Bacterial small subunit ribosomal RNA
Source: RNAcentral